Molecule: ribosomal RNA, 850 nt
Filed under: uncultured bacterium
Lineage: Bacteria
Description: bacterial SSU rRNA
Rfam family: Bacterial small subunit ribosomal RNA
Source: RNAcentral
CGGUAAAACGUAGGGGUCGAGCGUUAUCCGGAUUUACUGGGCGUAAAGCGCAUGUAGGCGGUUGCUUAAGUCGGACGUGAAAGCUCCUGGCUCAACUGGGAGAGGUCGUUCGAAACUGGGCAACUCGAGGGUGGUAGAGGAGAGUGGAAUUCCCGGUGUAGUGGUGAAAUGCGUAGAUAUCGGGAGGAACACCAGUGGCGAAGGCGGCUCUCUGGGCCAUUCCUGACGCUGAGAUGCGAAAGCUAGGGGAGAGAACGGGAUUAGAAACCCCGGUAUUCCUAGCCGUAAACGAUGUCAACUAGGUGUAGGAGGUUAUUGACCCCUUCUGUGCUGUAGCUAACGCGUUAAGUUGACCGCCUGGGGACUACGGCCGCAAGGCUAAAACUCAAAGGAAUUGACGGGGACCCGCACAAGCAGCGGAGCGUGUGGUUUAAUUCGAGGCUACGCGAAGAACCUUACCAGGGUUUGACAUGGCGGUGGUAGGGAGCCGAAAGGUGACCGACCCUUCGGGGAGCCGUCACAGGUGCUGCAUGGCUGUCGUCAGCUCGUGCCGUGAGGUGUUAGGUUAAGUCCUGUAACGAGCGCAACCCACGUCGUUAGUUAUACGUGUCUAACGAGACUGCCGGUGAUAAGCCGGAGGAAGGUGUGGAUGACGUCAAGUCAGCAUGGCCUUUAUAUCCUGGGCUACACACACGCUACAAUGGCCGGUACAAUGGGCAGCGAAGCCGCGAGGCGGAGCCAAUCCUCCAAAGCCGGUCUCAGUUCGGAUUGCAGGCUGCAACUCGCCUGCAUGAAGUCGGAGUUGCUAGUAACCGCGCGUCAGCAAUAGUGCGGUGAAUACGUUCCCGGG